GGAUGACUCUGUGACAUAUUUUCAAGGUAGAGCCAGUAGGAUUUCCUGACAGAUUGGAUGUCGGGGGAGAGAAACUCAGUCAGCCAAACGCGCCUGCAAGAGACGUCGUCUUAACAAUUCCUUCAAGUGUCACCAUCUCCUUCCAGAUCAGUGGUUCUUCACUGCUGCUCCCAGACCCCACUUUUCCUGAAUUCUGGAGACCUUUGAGAAUCUGAUAAGAGCGAUGGAUUUUCUCCCUGAAACAAUUCACCCUGUGCAUAUACACAAAUGAUUUUGUCUGUCAUUUUGGAGGAUCGCGGACACUGGGGAUCCCUCUGCGAGUCCGGGUGAAGAACAUGAGGCUUGGAGAAGUGAGCAAGACCUAGAAGCCAGAUGUGGCUGGCUCCAAGUCCACCUUCUCCCAUUCACUAGGCAGCCUCUCUAACUGCCUUCGUGCUCAUCCAAGAGAAAAACAAUUAGCCGUGCUUUGUCUUGAAAGAAGACAUGGGUAGAAGCCUUGAAAAAACCCUGCUCCUGCCUUUGACCCCUGAGUUCCUGGGUGCACUCUAAGCUCUGAGGUCUCAGGACAGGGGCAUCCCUCCCCCGCUCCCUCUUCAAGUCCGACGGUGUUUUCACCACAGCUGUGACGUUGACUUAUUUCAAAAAAACAUUAUUUUAAGCAUUCAGCAAUGGCAAAAGAAAACCUUGUUUGGAAGCCAAAGUGCCCUUUUAAAUGACCCAUUAAUUGGAUCAAAGCUUCCCUCAAUGCAAGGAUAAUUGCUUGUAACUGGCUAAAGUCUAUGACCCAGAAUUGGAUUGACAAACAUCAGACACAACUCAGGGAGAAGAUUGGAGAUAAGCCGGCACCUGAAGAGGUUCAAAGGAAUAUCCAGUUGUUCAAAUCAAGCCAGGAGGGGUUGACAUCUCCCCACUGCCUGAGAGACGAUAGGUCAGAACGAAUCCUGCUUUUCCAUUCAAGUCCUGAGCUGGUGAACGUGACCCCAUCAAGACCAGCCGGCCAGGAUGGGUCCAGAGGAGAACAUCUGCCUUUGCAUCCACUCUUUUCUGCAUGGGAAGAUCCAGCAGCAGUGGAAGUCCCAACCGAUAAAUCCCCACGAGUGGCAUUUCUGGGCCAGGAAGCCUAAUUGACGUCUCUGGAAUGGAUUUCCACUCUCGUCUCACCUAACCCCUCCGGUUUGUGGUUGAUUCGUCACUGGAGUGGGAUAGAAGGAAAGAGGGAGAGGCAAUCAGAGCUCCUGGAGUUCUUCUGAAGCCAAGCUGUCUUAGAUGCGGGAGACCGUGGGCACCAGACAGCUGUGUGAGGAGCGAUGGUCCUGAGAGACUGGGGAGAGAGACUCCAGGGCAGGAAGGACACAGAGACAACCAUGGUCUCUGAAUUAUUCAGGAGAAGCCAGCUGCAACCAGACAGCCCCAAACUUUUAACAUCACAAGAAAGCAAUGGAGGUUCAAGCAGCAGAGCGCCCUGAGCUGGCUGAAGUUCCUAAAGGGCUGCCCUGGCUCCUGUGCAGAGGAUGGAGUGUGAGGGGAGAGAGAGGAAGUAGACUAACAGAAAAAGGAUGCUGGCUUGGACCUGGAGGCGGCAGUAGAAAUGCCCGUUUAAAGUUGGAGUAUUAAUGUGAACAGACCCGGGAUGGAAUUUGGAUUCCUCAUGCUUGUGACCAGAACUGGAAGGCCGGGAUGUGCCCCUGCUUUGGAGAGUGACAGAGUGGAUGUUCAGGUCAUCUGUUCCUGGCAGAAGCUUCUCCAGACUCAAGCUCGUGGCAGGGACUGGCCUCCCUCGCAGCUCUCUUGCUCUGGCAACAUCAAGAUGCCCACAGCUGGUCUUUUGUGAACCACACCGCUCAGUGAGCCUUGGCUGAUCCAAAAACCUGGUGUCAUUCGUUGACACUGAGGUCCUGAGCCCUGGUGUCUGGGCACACCUUCUCUGCCCUGCUCGCUCCCCACCUCGAGUGAGCUUUAAGAAAGAUUCUCGGGGGCAGACUGCCUCCGGCAAUGUGGUGAAGCUCUUCCCUUUCCAUCAGACCCUUCCUAGCACAGGGAAAAACUCAGCUCCCUCAAGGAGGACUGGAAAUGUCACCUAAAUUGACAGCCCCAUGCAGACAUGUAAGGUUUACGUGGUAGUCACUUUGAGUUUGUAAAAGCAAGCAUUCCUCUGCUGGGAGGAGGAAGUGGGAAGCCCGGCUGCACCUUCUCCCUGAGAUGAAUGACUGGGAGAUGUCGCAACAAACCUCAGCCCCUUCUGGGAAAGGGCGCGCUGUUUGUCUUCAGCGCCGCCAGCCCAGGGGGUGGUGGGGAUACGGAGGGAGCUCCACGCCCUUUCCGCAGAGCUCCUGUCAGGUUCCAGCCUGCAGGGCCAGAGUAGGCUGCUGGACAGAAAGAAAUGUGACUUUUCAGCAUGGGCUUCUGGCCAGCAGGGUCACCUUGCACAUCCUUUGAGGCUUGGUUCUUUGGUCUUUGCAGCUGAGCCAAAUGGCAGUGCCAGGCAGAAGGCGCUGCCCUCUGGUGUGUGGAUGCUCCUGUCAGUCAAGGCCAAAGAGACUCCAGCUGCAGUUUCUGAUGAAAGGCGCCUUGCAGCCCUGGCGCUUGGCAUUCUGCAUGGGGCUCCAGUGUGACUGGGAGGGGCCUCCCUCUGCAGCUGGAGCAAAGUCUCACUCCGAACGAGAUCUAUGGGGGCUGGGGGUGGAGAUGAGCAUGACAAAAGAAGGAAAUCACAGUUGUGUGUAUUCUGUCCCCACUCGGAAACGGGUGACGCAUCGAUAGGACACUUUCCUGCAAUUCCCUCUUCUCACUCACAAAGAUUUGAAUGACUGAACAACAACAACAAAAAGCAUAGAAGACAGAAAAGAAAAGGGAAUAAAGGACAACAGUACUUUUGGCCAUUCUCCUCUUUGGGAGGUUAGCUCUAGUUACAUACUCUAGAAAACUCGGUCUAUGCCCUGCCGACACAAUGGGCUAAAAGUGAACGAAACAUCCAGAUCCCCCCACUCCCCAGUGAGUGUGUGUGUGUGUGUGUGUGUGUGAAUGUGUGUGUGAAUGUCUGUGUGAAUGAAUGAGUUCCAAUAGGCCAAUGGCCAGUUUUGUUUUGGUAAAAAAGAAAAGAAAGUACCUCACACACGAAGCUGAAUUGAUUAUAAAUGCCUCAUCUGUUCCUGAACGCAGAUUUCAGAACCAGACAGGAGUGGAUCCAAAUUCCUCCUGAGAACCGUGGCAGCUCCAUGAUUUGGCUAACUCACAAAACCUCCUUAAGGCUCAGGUGAGAAUUCCUCAGCUUUCAAAUCGGACUCACAAGCCUGCUUCAUGUGGAUGCAGACAAUUAGACGAGCUAGUGCAUGUAAAAGUACCCCAGCUCAGGGAGGACCACGUGCGGGUAAGUCUGGAGAGAGGCAGGGACUGAAUCUGGCAGCCUUGGAAGCCAUAAGAAGUAUCUUGUCUUUACUCUAGAGCAAUGGAAAAUGAAAGAAGGUUUAAACAAGGUAGUGACUAAUGGCUGCAGCAUGGAGAAGGCAUUGUCAGGAGAGGGAAGGGUCAGGGAAGGGGAGAGCAGUAGACCACUGCAGCAGCUCGAGUGACUUCAGACAUUUCCUGGGCCUUGACCCUCUGAUUUCUGGGCUCUGGGCACUAUACCUGCUUCAGAUUCCAUAAAGGUUCUUUGGCCUUCAAGUUCUUAAUGUUGGACCCACCAUUGUUAAUAAGUUUAUACCUUGAGUCAAAGGUAGCUUUGGUUUUGUUUUGUCAAAUCAAUAUUCACGAAGUACCUAUCACCUGCUAGGAACACUACUGGCUGAUUAUAGAGUUUAGUGUGGGAUGGCAAGUAGGUUCCAACUACUCACUGGUAGGCCCUGUGUAGAAAGGAUUCUAGGGCCCCACAGUUAAGAGAGGCAGGAUUAAUUAGUCACAUCUGCUGUGGGUGAGGGGAAUGCUGGCAGCACGUUUGUCACAUAUUUGCCAUCGCUGGCCCAGUGGCUCCCAGCACUUAUACUCCACCUUAGCUUGAUCCAGGCUCUGCUCGGACCGUUUUGUCUUCAGACAUUCCCACUAGUCUGGACACGGUAGGAGACAUCGGCAGUCGUUUCCAGCCCAGGAACUAUUGGAAAGAAGGCAUUCUUUUGCCAUUGGGACUGCUAUACUCAGUAUGUGAGCUGACGGGGACCUCCGUGUGGAGAGAGCAUGCCUGAUGACGCAUACAGAGGACAGCGGCGUUGAGGGAAGAAGGGGCUGAACAGGAGUAAUAGUUUGAAGGCCUGGAUCUAGCAAUGCUGGAAGCUCCCAUCCAGGGGAGAGGCAUAGAUGUGUGCCCACAGCUGGGGCGAAUUCGUAUGUCCUGGAGAGGCCUGAAACUUGUUCCAACGAGUAACCACAUACAGAGUGUAGCAAUGGUCGGAGCAAGGUGGUUGAGUAAACAACUGACAACCAAAAUGGGCUGUGGACAUGUGAGUGUUCCUUGGCAGAUUUUCAGAAAAAGUUAGGAAAAGGAACCCCCAAAGACUUAACUUUCUAUCACAUCAGAUGGGUGCUUGGAUUGUUGUUUUUUGGGAUAGGAAAGAGAAGGGUGAUGUAUAAUUCUGGUCUGGGGCAGCUAACAGCAGGUGUGUCUUCCCACACUCUUUCUUACCCAAUCAUAGGGCUCGAAGUAAAGGGCUUUGGGGAUGAAAAGUUACAAGAUAGAAGGCUUCUGGAUUCCUGGGUCAUCCUUUGGAGGAGAGCUGCUCAGGAGAGUCACCCGACGUAUCCAGCUGUGAUGGGAAACCAACUUUGUGUGCUACACCACUGAGUGUUUGAGCUUUGUUUGUUAUCUUAGCUUAUCCUGUAUUAACACGUUUACACUUAGUGUCCAGAAAGGGCUAAAAUUCCAUCACCCCAGGGUUUAGAAAGGAUCAUCUAUAUAUUACCUAUCAAAAAAUCUCUACCAGGGGCCGGCCCGGUGGCGCAGCAGUUAAGUUUGCACGUUCCACUUUGGUGGCCUGGGGUUUGCCGGUUCAGAUCCCAGCUACGGACAUGGCACCGCUUGGCAAGCCAUGCUGUAGUAGGCGUCCCACAUAUAAAGUAGAGGAACAUGGGCAUGGAUGUUAGCUCAGGGCCAGUCUUCCUCAGCAUAAAGAGUGGCAGCAGAUGUUAGCUCAAGGCUAAUCUUCCUCAAAAAAAAAAAAAAUCUCCACCACUUAUUUGCUCACACAAAGUUCAUUUUGCCGAUGGUGAUGCAAGGUUAAACGAGGCCAAGAGUUUGGUGAGAUGAAUGCUUUCACGUGUUGCUUACACUGUAAAUUGCUGGAAGGUUUUGGAAGGCAAUAUUUAUCAAUUGUCAUAAAAUAUUUGUACCCUUCAAGCGAGUAGUUCCAUUCCUAGGAAACUAGCUCAAGGAAACUACGAGAAAUGUGUGUAAAAAAUACGUACAAGCCCAUUUAUGGUCAUCGUGGAAACAACAUAACUUUUCAACAACAUCAGGAUGGCGGGAAAUUAUGGUACCUGCAUGAAUGGGAUAUCAUGUGUCAAUUACGUUUGUGUUUAUGAAGACAUCUUAAUGGCAUGGGCAAAUGUUUAUGUUAGAAUGUUAGUGAAUAUCAGGAACUAGAACUACGUAAAACCCUACUUACUCUGUAUAUAUAUUUAUAGGAAGAAAGCUUGGAAGAAAAUGCACCCAAUUGAACAGUUAAUAGUGGGUUUUGUCUUCCUGAUGGAAUUG
Long non-coding RNA from Equus caballus (horse), 5680 nucleotides. The record is from Ensembl. Lineage: Eukaryota; Metazoa; Chordata; Mammalia; Perissodactyla; Equidae.